UGUAAACAGACAGAUGAUAAUUUUAGUUACAAUUUUAUUUUAAAAAAUAUAUCAGAAAUUUCACAAAGCAGUUGCAUCGUGAACUGAUUUGUACUUCUUAAUCAAGAAAUAUAAUCUUCCUGUUUUUUUUUUCAGGUUCCUGAGCUCAUGAGUGUAUGAGGAAAAGAAAAAUCCUGUGCAAAUUAAAGAAAGUGGAAAGAGAUCUGGCAAAGUACUGGUGCAAACAGGUCCAAAUAUUUUUAAAUGGAAUCUGAACUGAGUAUCACAUGAUCAUCUCUGUUCAAGUCUGCCUAUGCUUGCAUAAGUGAGUG
RNAcentral lists this long non-coding RNA (311 nucleotides) under Anas platyrhynchos platyrhynchos (common mallard). RNAcentral describes it as "lncRNA (ENSAPLG00000020704.1)". The record is from RNAcentral. Lineage: Eukaryota; Metazoa; Chordata; Aves; Anseriformes; Anatidae.